GAAUAUAUAGCUCAGUGGUAGAGCGCAUGCCUAGCAUGCGUGAGGUCCUGGAUUCAAUCCCCAGUACCUCCA
This 72-nucleotide transfer RNA is filed under the name Camelus bactrianus (Bactrian camel). It matches the Rfam family "tRNA". Rfam says of the family: Transfer RNA (tRNA) molecules are approximately 80 nucleotides in length. Lineage: Eukaryota; Metazoa; Chordata; Mammalia; Artiodactyla; Camelidae. The record is from Rfam by way of RNAcentral. RNAcentral also lists the same sequence under 2 other names.